GGCCGGAUAAGGCGUUUACGCCGCAUCCGGCAAUCAACGCGGGAUGCGACGCUUUCACAUCACAUCCGGCA
RNAcentral lists this non-coding RNA (71 nucleotides) under Escherichia coli. RNAcentral describes it as "Nucleoid-associated noncoding RNA 4 (CssrE)". It matches the Rfam family "Nucleoid-associated noncoding RNA 4 (CssrE)". Rfam says of the family: In E. coli small RNA transcribed from repeated extragenic palindromic element (REP325) called nucleoid-associated ncRNA 4 (nRNA4) collaborates HU protein in condensing the DNA. The secondary structure but not the sequence of the RNA is important in nucleoid condensation. Also identified in Shigella as CssrE. RNAcentral also lists the same sequence under 4 other names. The record is from RNAcentral. Lineage: Bacteria; Pseudomonadati; Pseudomonadota; Gammaproteobacteria; Enterobacterales; Enterobacteriaceae.